CUUCAAGAAGAGAGAGUGGAAGCGAAAGCAAGGGAAAAUGAAUUGCCAUUGGUAUCCAGGAAUAACUGGCCCCCUGAAGUGGUGUUGGCACCCCCCUCUGCAGUGGAAUGACCCUUGACUUACCCAUGGGUCAUAUAAAAAUCCAUAAUGCGGGCCCAAGUCUGUUCUCAUCUCAUACAAAGCUGCUGAUGCUUGAGGAAUUCCAGAAGCAUUUUUGAAUGGGUAUAACAUUUCAUCACUGUUACUGUCAAAGAUAGUUUCAUCCAUGUCACCAUGUACAGGUAAAUUUCUGCCUAAUUUUAGGAAAUUUCUCCAUGAGUGAAUGCAUUGCACAGGCAUUAUUAAAGUACCUUGAUCCAGAACACACAUUUAUGUGAGUGUUCCUAUUUACUCCAGCAGAGCAUGAAAGCUUUGCACACUCUACAAUCCAUUUGUUCACAUGAACUUGUCAUUCUAUUGUUGAAUUCCCCACCCUCCUUAUUUCUGUGGAACAUAUAAUUUGCCAUUUGGUUAUUAUAAUGAUCUAGAAUGUUGUUUUGACAGUGUGAUUUUUGAAAACCUGGAUAUGAAAAGAACAAAACAAAAUGACAUCUCUCUAGAAGAUUGUAGCCAAAAUCUUACCUCAGGAGAAUAGGACAUCCAAAUGAGGUUUUAACAAACACUUAUUAUUUUCAAAGGGUGAAAGCUAGCUUUGUUUGUUUGUGCAUGUUUUUUUCUAUAUGGCAUUCAACACCAAUAGAUAAUGAAUACACACAGAGUUCAUAGUCUCCUAAAGCUUUAGUAGGCUGACAGUAUAAUAGGUACAGCUGUUUUGACCAGAGAUCUUUCCAUACAAUAGUGUCACUUAUUUUUUUGUUUUCCUUCAUUAAUCUCAACACCAUUGUUUUUCUUUUGCAUUCUUCUAUAUCUCCAAUUGCCAGUGACCAAAGAAAUUCUGACCAAUGAAAUUCUUGUUACUUCAUAAUGGAUGUCCCCUUCACUAAAACAUAUUUCAUAGAAAGGGAAGUUAUGUUGUGAAAGACCGCCAUGGUGUGGGAACAUGACUGCAAGAACUGCAUGGAAAGCUUUCCCCCUUCAUUCAAGUACAGGAUACAACUAUGAAAUGACAGGAAAGCAGCUUGAAUAGGUUUAUUUGGCUACAUCACAGUGUAGGAUCAGAUAAGUACAUUUUCUUGUCUCAUAAAGGAGUGGGCAGUCCGCAAUAAGUUGAUGCAUCAGCUUAAAGGUUGUCCUGCUAACUUUCUUAGGCUCCUUCCAUACAACUGUAUAAAAUCCACAUUCAACUGGAUUAUAUGGCAGUGUGGAUUCAGAUAACCCAGUUCAAAGCAGAUA
Molecule: long non-coding RNA, 1332 nt
Filed under: Anolis carolinensis (green anole)
Lineage: Eukaryota; Metazoa; Chordata; Lepidosauria; Squamata; Anolidae
Description: lncRNA (ENSACAG00000039753.1)
Source: RNAcentral